RNAcentral lists this ribosomal RNA (393 nucleotides) under uncultured bacterium. RNAcentral describes it as "partial 16S ribosomal RNA". It matches the Rfam family "Bacterial small subunit ribosomal RNA", at positions 523 to 918 of the family's 1533-position model. The record is from RNAcentral.
AUACGUAGGGGGCGAGCGUUGUCCGGAAUGAUUGGGCGUAAAGGGCGCGUAGGCGGCCCGGUAAGUCUGGAGUGAAAGUCCUGUUUCUAAGAUGGGAAUUGCUUUGGAUACUGUCGGGCUUGAGUGCAGGAGAGGGAAGUGGAAUUCCCAGUGUAGCGGUGAAAUGCGUAGAGAUUGGGAGGAACACCAGUGGCGAAGGCGACUUACUGGACUGUAACUGACGCUGAGGCGCGAAAGUGUGGGGAGCAAACAGGAUUAGAUACCCUGGUAGUCCACACUGUAAACGAUGAUGGCUAACCGCUGGUUUUUUCGGAUCAGUGGCCAAGCGAAAGCGAUAAGCCAUCCACCUGGGGAGUACGGUCGCAAGACUGAAACUCAAAGGAAUUGGCGGGG